This is a long non-coding RNA of Bos grunniens (domestic yak), 1631 nucleotides long. NCBI's taxonomy places the organism in Eukaryota, Metazoa, Chordata, Mammalia, Artiodactyla, Bovidae. The record is from Ensembl.
CUAAGUGGCUGUAACAAAUGCCCAAACAUGUUAUGCAUUCAUGAAAUAAAAAUGCAUUUCAUGGGACUUCCCUGGUGGUCCUGGUGGCUAAGACUCCAGGCUCCCAAUUCAGGGGAGCUGGGUUUGAGCCCUGAUUGGGGAAGGAGAUUCCAUACAUUGCAACUAAGAGUUCACAUACUGCAACUAAAAUAUUCCGUGUGAUGCAACUAAGACCAGGCACAGCCAAAUAAAUAAUAAAGGAAAUAAAAAUAAAUAUUUAAAAAUUGCAUUCCUGACUCAUUUAAUAGCCUUUGGUACUCUUUUUUUUUUUUGCUGCAAAAAGCUUUACUGUUUCCAUAUGGUCCAAGGCUUGAGAGAGGGCUCCAGGGUGUUAAAAAAGCUGCCUAGUAGCUGCGGAGAGGGGCUUCAGGCAGCCCUGAUGUUAGGUGGGUUCUUCAAUGGCCACUGGUCUCCAGAAGCUCCUAGUCGUGCUUGAGGGUGAGCCUUUCGAAGAGAUACUCGCCCAACCCAGCCUGGGGACCAGCCAGCUCAUGGAGGUUGGUCAGGUGGUCACCCAUCUUCUUGAUGAGUUUCACUUCCUCAUCUAGGAAGUGGUUCUCCAGGAAGUCACAGAUGUGGGGGUCUCCGCGGGCAGAAGCCAGGCCAUGCAGAUCCAACAGGGCUUGAUUCAGGUUCUUCUCUACGAGAUGGCUUCUGCACGUCCAGGAAGAGGGCGCGGCCGCCACGCUGGUUUUGCAGUUUCAAGAGACGCUCCGCGCCCUCGCGCUUCUCCUUGGCCAAUUCGCAAAAAAAGUGACCCACACCCUCCAGGGCCACAUCGUCGCGGUCGAAAUAGAAGCCCAGAGAGAGGUAGGUGUAGGAGGUCCGCAGUUGCAUGUUAACCAGGCGGUUGACGGCGGCCUCCACCUCGGUAGAAUAAUUCUGACGAAUCUGGGAGCUCAUGAUUGGUCGGUAAUAAUAAGGAGUUAAAAAAUGGUGGCUGGUCCGGUGAUCACGGACAGCUGAGUGGCUGACUCAAGGUUGCGACUAGAAAAAGGUUGGAGGGUGGUCGGAGGCUGGAGCAAGGGGCGUCCCUGGGUCUGUUCCGUCCAAGCACUGUUGAAGCAAGAGACAGAUCCGCGGGGCCGCCGAGCGCACUUCCCCUUUGGUACUCUUGCAUGCAGUCCUCCCCAUGGUGACUAGUUCAGUGAACUGGGAGGAGAAAGAACACAGACAAGGCCCCUGCAGUCUUGUUGUUGUUCAGUUGUUAAGUCAUGUCCACCUCUUUGUAACCCCAUGGACUGCAGCAUGCCAGGCUUCCCUGUCCUUCACCAUCUCCCAGAGCUUGUUCAAACUCAUGACCAUUGAGUUGGUGUGCCAUCCAACCAUCUAAUCCUCUGCCAUCCCCUUCUCCUUUUGCCUUCAAUCUUUCCCUGCAGCAGGGUCUUUUCCAUUGAGUUGGCUCUUCGCAUCAGGUGACCAAAGUAUUGGAGCUUCAGCUUUAGCAUCAGUCCUUCCAAUGAAAUUGCAGGAUUGAUUUCCUUUAGGAUUGACUAAUUUGAUUUCCCUGCUCUCCAAGGGACUCUCAAGAGUCUUUUCUAGCACAAUUAGAAAGCAUCAAUUCUCUGGUGCUCAUUCUUCUUUAUUGCCCA